GACGAACCGUGCGAACGUUAUUCGGAAUCACUGGGCUUAAAGGGCGCGUAGGCGGGCCACCAAGUCAGGGGUGAAAUCCCACGGCUCAACCGUGGAAGUGCCCUUGAUACUGGUGGCCUCGAGGGAGGCAGGGGCGUGCGGAACUUUGGGUGGAGCGGUGAAAUGCGUAGAUAUCCAAAGGAACACCGGUGGCGAAGGCGGUUCUCUGGGCCUGUACUGACGCUGAGGUGCGAAAGCGUGGGGAGCAAACAGG
This 253-nucleotide ribosomal RNA is filed under the name uncultured bacterium. Its description in RNAcentral is "partial 16S ribosomal RNA". It matches the Rfam family "Bacterial small subunit ribosomal RNA", at positions 524 to 776 of the family's 1533-position model. The record is from RNAcentral.